AUGGUGAGUGAAGAAAUAUCUUGUGAUGAUGGUGUUAAGCUCAUUUGUGAUGAUAUGCUUGAUCUCCCAUGUUGCCAUGAUAGAAAUGCCUUGGUUUCCUCUAGUUGUUCUAUGACUAGGCAUGCAGAGGAAAUCAAGAAAGAUGAGGCAUGCUUGAUUGAUGAAGAACCCUCUUCUCCAAAAGAAUCAUCAUCAACCCCCUUUGUUCACAUGUGCCUCAUGGCAAGAGGUAAUGACGAGGUAUCAUCUUCUCUUAGUGAUAAUGGUGAUAGUUGUAAUGAGGAUGAUGAUGAUGACUUGACUCAAAAUCUCUAUGAGAUUGGGAAAACUCUUCAUGGAGCUAAAAAUAACACUUAUAAAAGGUUCCAAGAUGUUCUUGCUUGCUUUGAAAAACGUAAUGACUUAUUUCUUAACGAGCAAGCGAAAAGUGAACAACUUGAACAUGAACUUGCUAAGGCUCAUCAAUGUAUUAGUGACUUGAGGUCUUUAAAAGAAGAGAUUGAAAGUACUCAUGGUAAACUUAAAGAGGAUUUUGAGCUCCUUCUCCUUGAAUGCAAUAAUGUCAAGGUAGAGCUCAUCAAACUCUCUAAGUCUCAUGAGGAGCUUCAAUCAACUCAUGAGAAGUCUCUAAUUGCUACUUGCUCCUAUGAUAUUGAUAAUGAUGCUUGUGUUACUAACUCGAUUUUAUGUGAAGCAUCAAUUUUGAAGGAGAAUGUCGAGCUAAGGACUCAACUUGAUUUGCUAACUAGGAAUUAUGGGAAAUUGGAAGAAAGUCAUGAAAAGCUCUCAAGCACUUAUGAGGAUCUUCUAAUCUCCCAUGAUGGGCUAAAGUUAGCUCAUGAGGCUAUGGUCACGAAGGUAAAAUCGUGUGAGUCUCAUGUGGAUAUUAGCACAUCUUCUACUCGAAAUGCCGUAUUGCCAUGUGCUAGUCCUUGCAAUUCCUCUCUACAUGAUAUUGAUACACCUCAUGAUGAAUUGCUCACCUUGUCUUGUUGCUCUAACCAUGAAGUUUCUACUUGCACUAGUCCUCUUGUUUCUAGUCUUGAAACUAACCAUGUAGAGGAAAUUAAUGAGCUCAAGGCCCAAGUCACUAGUUUGAAGAAAGACUUGGAAAAGCGCGAUGAUGGACAUAGUUUUCACUCCAACAAGAAGAAAUCCAUUAACAAGAAAAGGGGGCAAGACCAAGCCAAGAACGACUCCAACAUUUCUUGCUUUAAGUGCAAAAAGGUUGGACAUCACGUGAGAUCUUGUCCCUUGAAGAAAAGGGCUUAUGAAGGGAAGCUACAUGGGAAGCGGCCUCAAGCUCAAUCUCAAGUUCAACCUCAAGUUGAAGAACGGCCACUAUCCAUGAUGAACCAUGUUAUUACUUACCAAGUUGAGAAAGUAAAGAAGAAGAGAAGGGAGAGUACAUGUUGCUAUAUUUGCCGUAAGAAGGGACACAUAGCUUCAUCAUGUCCCAAUGGUAACAUCUCUAAGCCUUCAAUUAUCUAUGAUCAUUAUUCACUUAGGAAGGAUAUUUAUGACAAUAUGUUUGCCAAGUGUGUUGGUGCCCAAAGUGGUUUGAAAGUGGAUAAGACCAUUUGGGUUGCCAAGCCUAUUGUUACUAACUUCUUAGGACCCAACGUGGUUGGGGACCAUCUAGCUCAAACUUGA
RNAcentral lists this ribosomal RNA (1653 nucleotides) under Triticum aestivum (bread wheat). RNAcentral describes it as "partial small subunit ribosomal RNA". The record is from RNAcentral. Lineage: Eukaryota; Viridiplantae; Streptophyta; Magnoliopsida; Poales; Poaceae.